GAUGAACGCUGGCGGCGUGCCUAAUACAUGCAAGUCGAGCGAACAGACGAGGAGCUUGCUCCUCUGACGUUAGCGGCGGACGGGUGAGUAACACGUGGAUAACCUACCUAUAAGACUGGGAUAACUUCGGGAAACCGGAGCUAAUACCGGAUAAUAUGUUGAACCGCAUGGUUCAAUAGUGAAAGACGGUUUUGCUGUCACUUAUAGAUGGAUCCGCGCCGCAUUAGCUAGUUGGUAAGGUAACGGCUUACCAAGGCAACGAUGCGUAGCCGACCUGAGAGGGUGAUCGGCCACACUGGAACUGAGACACGGUCCAGACUCCUACGGGAGGCAGCAGUAGGGAAUCUUCCGCAAUGGGCGAAAGCCUGACGGAGCAACGCCGCGUGAGUGAUGAAGGUCUUCGGAUCGUAAAACUCUGUUAUUAGGGAAGAACAAAUGUGUAAGUAACUAUGCACGUCUUGACGGUACCUAAUCAGAAAGCCACGGCUAACUACGUG
Molecule: ribosomal RNA, 497 nt
Filed under: uncultured bacterium
Lineage: Bacteria
Description: partial 16S ribosomal RNA
Rfam family: Bacterial small subunit ribosomal RNA
Source: RNAcentral